GUGAAUCAUCGAAUCUUUGAACGCACAUUGCGCCCCUUGGUAUUCCGAGGGGCAUGCCUGUUCGAGCGUCAUUUCACCACUCAAGCUCUGCUUGGUAUUGGGCGCCGUCCUUCACCGGACGCGCCUCAAAGACCUCGGCGGUGGCGUCUUGCCUCAAGCGUAGUAGAAAACACCUCGCUUUGGAGGACGGGACGUUCGCUCGCCGGACGAACCUUCUGAAUUUUCUCAAGGUUGACCUCGGAUCAGGUAGGGAUACCCGCUGAACUUAAGCAUAUCAAUAAGCGGAGGA
RNAcentral lists this unclassified non-coding RNA (289 nucleotides) under Endomelanconiopsis sp. Its description in RNAcentral is "partial contains 5.8S ribosomal RNA, internal transcribed spacer 2, and large subunit ribosomal RNA". The stretch from base 1 to 71 matches the Rfam family "5.8S ribosomal RNA", at positions 84 to 154 of the family's 154-position model. The record is from RNAcentral. Lineage: Eukaryota; Fungi; Ascomycota; Dothideomycetes; Botryosphaeriales; Botryosphaeriaceae.